UACGGAGGGUGCGAGCGUUGUUCGGAAUCAUUGGGCGUAAAGAGCGUGUAGGCGGCUAUUUAAGUCCUGCGUGAAAUCCUGCGGCUCAACCGCAGACGGUCGUGGGAAACUGGAUGGCUAGAGUGCGGGAGAGGAGAGUGGAAUUCCCGGUGUAGCGGUGAAAUGCGCAGAUAUCGGGAAGAACACCCGUGGCGAAGGCGGCUCUCUGGAACGCAACUGACGCUGAGACGCGAAAGCGUGGGGAGCAAACAGG
This 253-nucleotide ribosomal RNA is filed under the name uncultured bacterium. Its description in RNAcentral is "partial 16S ribosomal RNA". It matches the Rfam family "Bacterial small subunit ribosomal RNA", at positions 524 to 776 of the family's 1533-position model. The record is from RNAcentral.